This 473-nucleotide ribosomal RNA is filed under the name uncultured bacterium. Its description in RNAcentral is "bacterial SSU rRNA". It matches the Rfam family "Bacterial small subunit ribosomal RNA", at positions 328 to 793 of the family's 1533-position model. The record is from RNAcentral.
UAACCAGACUCCUACGGGAGGCAGCAGUGGGGAAUAUUGCGCAAUGGGCGCAAGCCUGAUGCAGCCAUGCCGCGUGUAUGAAGAAGGCCUUCGGGUUGGAAAAUACUUUCAGCGGGGAGGAAGGCGAUAAGGUUAAUAACCUUGUUGAUUGACGUUACCCGCAGAAGAAGCACCGGCUAACUCCGUGCCAGCAGCCGCGGUAAUACGGAGGGUGCAAGCGUUAAUCGGAAUUACUGGGCGUAAAGCGCACGCAGGCGGUCUGUCAAGUCGGAUGUGAAAUCCCCGGGCGCAACCUGGGAACUGCAUUCGAAACUGGCAGGCUGGAGUCUUGGAGAGGGGGGUAGAAUUCCAGGUGUAGCGGUGGAAUGCGUAGAGAUCUGGAGGAAAACCGGUGGCGAAGGCGGCCCCCUGGACAAAGACUGACGCUCAGGUGCGAAAGCGUGGGGAGCAAACAGGAUUAGAUACCCCAGUAA